This 73-nucleotide transfer RNA is filed under the name Scopelarchus sp. ausc01. RNAcentral's name for it is "tRNA-Asn". It matches the Rfam family "tRNA". Rfam says of the family: Transfer RNA (tRNA) molecules are approximately 80 nucleotides in length. Their secondary structure includes four short double-helical elements and three loops (D, anti-codon, and T loops). Further hydrogen bonds mediate the characteristic L-shaped molecular structure. tRNAs have two regions of fundamental functional importance: the anti-codon, which is responsible for specific mRNA codon recognition, and the 3' end, to which the tRNAs corresponding amino acid is attached (by aminoacyl-tRNA synthetases). tRNAs cope with the degeneracy of the genetic code in two manners: having more than one tRNA (with a specific anti-codon) for a particular amino acid; and 'wobble' base-pairing, i.e. permitting non-standard base-pairing at the 3rd anti-codon position. Lineage: Eukaryota; Metazoa; Chordata; Actinopteri; Aulopiformes; Scopelarchidae. The record is from RNAcentral. RNAcentral also lists the same sequence under 3 other names.
UAGAAAAAUGCUCGCUGGUUAGAGCGCUUAGCUGUUAACUAAGAUUUUGUAGGAUCGAGGCCUUCUUUUCUAG